Molecule: ribosomal RNA, 468 nt
Filed under: uncultured bacterium
Lineage: Bacteria
Description: partial 16S ribosomal RNA
Rfam family: Bacterial small subunit ribosomal RNA
Source: RNAcentral
GACGAACGCUGGCGGCGUGCUUAACACAUGCAAGUCGAACGGAAAGGCCCUGCUUUUGUGGGGUGCUCGAGUUGCGAACGGGUGAGUUACACUUGAGUAACCUGCCCUUCACUUUGGGAUAUCUUCAGGAAACUGGGGCUAUUACCGGCUAGGAGCUCCUGCUGCAUGGUGGGGGUUGGAAAGUUUCGGCGGUUGGGGAUGGACUCGCGGCUUAUCAGCUUGUUGGUGGGGUAGUGGCUUACCAAGGGUUUGACGGGUAGCCGGGCUGCGAGGGGGACCGGCCACAAUGGGACUGAGAUAGGGACCAGACUCGAACGGGAGGCAGCAGUGGGGAAGAUUGCACAAUGGGCGGAAGCCUGAUGCAGCAAAGCAGCGUGCGGGAUGAGGGGCUGCGGGUAGUAAACAGCAGUAGCCUGAGACGAAGCGUGAGUGACGGUAAUGGGUAAAGAAGCACCGGCUAACUACGUG